GCUAGAUUGCGGAUCCGCGGCCGCAGAGUUUGAUCCUGGCUCAGAUUGAACGCUAGCGGGAUGCUUUACACAUGCAAGUCGAACGGCAGCACGAGAUAAGCUUGCUUAUCUUGGUGGCGAGUGGCGAACGGGUGAGUAACGUAUCGGAACGUGCCCAGUAGCGGGGGAUAACUACGCGAAAGCGUGGCUAAUACCGCAUACGCCCUACGGGGGAAAGGGGGGGAUUCUUCGGAACCUCUCACUAUUGGAGCGGCCGAUACCAGAUUAGCUAGUUGGUGGGGUAAUGGCCUACCAAGGCCGCGAUCCGUAGCUGGUUUGAGAGGACGACCAGCCACACUGGGACUGAGACACGGCCCAGACUCCUACGGGAGGCAGCAGUGGGGAAUUUUGGACAAUGGGGGCAACCCUGAUCCAGCCAUCCCGCGUGUGCGAUGAAGGCCUUCGGGUUGUAAAGCACUUUUGUUGGGAAGAAAAGCAGCCGGUUAAUACCCGGUUGUUCUGACGGCACCCAAAGAAUAAGCACCGGCUAACUUCGUGCCAGCAGCCGCGGUAAUACGAAGGGUGCAAGCGUUACUCGGAAUUACUGGGCGUAAAGCGUGCGUAGGUGGUUCGUUAAGUCUGAUGUGAAAGCCCUGGGCUCAACCUGAGAAUUGCAUUGGAUACUGGCGGGCUAGAGUACGGUAGAGGGUGGCGGAAUUCCUGGUGUAGCAGUGAAAUGCGUAGAUAUCACGAGGAACAUCCGUGGCGAAGCGGCCACCUGGACCAGUACUGACACUGAGCACGAAAGCGUGGGGAGCAAA
RNAcentral lists this ribosomal RNA (800 nucleotides) under uncultured Pusillimonas sp. RNAcentral describes it as "bacterial SSU rRNA". It matches the Rfam family "Bacterial small subunit ribosomal RNA", at positions 1 to 772 of the family's 1533-position model. The record is from RNAcentral. Lineage: Bacteria; Pseudomonadati; Pseudomonadota; Betaproteobacteria; Burkholderiales; Alcaligenaceae.